RNAcentral lists this long non-coding RNA (464 nucleotides) under Capra hircus (goat). RNAcentral's name for it is "lncRNA (ENSCHIG00010003461.1)". Lineage: Eukaryota; Metazoa; Chordata; Mammalia; Artiodactyla; Bovidae. The record is from RNAcentral.
UUUUUUUUUCAAGCUACAUAUGUACAUGUGAAGGUGGCUCAGAUCUGUCCAACUCAGUCCAUGGAAUUCUCCAGGCCAGAAUACUGAAGUUGGUAUCCUUUCCCUUCUCCAGGGGAUCUUCCUGACCCAGGAAUCGAAUUGGGAUCUCCUGCAUUGCAGCCAGAUUCUUUACCUACUGAGCCAUCAGGGAAGCCGUUUUUUAGCUAAACAAAUUCUUAAACCUUUUAUUGUACAGGCCUUCUGCAAGCCUCUGGGAAGAAGACCCUCACCAAGAACUAUAUCUGUCCCGGACUCUGACCUUGGAGAUAACCUGAAGUUGCAAGAAAGGACUUUGAGCAAGUAAAACGCCUCUAGCCGUGACUAUCUUCAUAUUCCCAUACUUCGGAAACUGGAGGUGUGCGAGAGACCCUGAAGCCCAGAGUUGGUGUCGCUGGUCACGUUUGGACAUCGAUAGAACUUCUGGG